AAAAGAGGAUCAACAAAGGGAGUUCUCUUAUUUCCUUUGCAACUUGGUUUAUUGUUAAUUACCUUGUUAAUUACGUUUAGACGGUGAGUGUGUCUUCAAGGGCUCAAAGUGUCCAAGAAGCCUCACCUAGGGCCGACUAGUAUAGAAUUCUUAAUUAGCAAUUGUUAAUUGUUUGUAAUUGCCUUUUCUUUUGCUUAAUUAGUAACGCUUUGUAUGUGUGGUUGUUUUUAAGCUUUGUUAAAACCGUCUAGCUUUGUUAAUUAGUUAGCAUACAUUGUUUUUCUUGCA
This 288-nucleotide long non-coding RNA is filed under the name Phaseolus vulgaris (common bean). RNAcentral's name for it is "long non-coding RNA (PVUL_LNC000181)". The record is from RNAcentral. Lineage: Eukaryota; Viridiplantae; Streptophyta; Magnoliopsida; Fabales; Fabaceae.